Penstemon davidsonii is the source of this 72-nucleotide non-coding RNA. NCBI's taxonomy places the organism in Eukaryota, Viridiplantae, Streptophyta, Magnoliopsida, Lamiales, Plantaginaceae. The record is from the annotation of a GenBank genome assembly.
UCGACCUUAGCUCAAACGGGAGAGUAAAAGGGUUGUGCCCUUUGGUUGUCGGUUCGAAUCCGACAGGUCGAA